RNAcentral lists this ribosomal RNA (510 nucleotides) under Triticum aestivum (bread wheat). RNAcentral describes it as "partial small subunit ribosomal RNA". Lineage: Eukaryota; Viridiplantae; Streptophyta; Magnoliopsida; Poales; Poaceae. The record is from RNAcentral.
AUGGAGGAUCCCGUCACUGCUUCGCUCGGCCCCAUAGGUCGCCUCUUCCGGCGACUCCAUUCGCUGGAUGCUUCCCAACAGCCUCUGCCGGAGGGGCUCAGUGCGAACGGGGUCCGGCUUCUGAAAGAGGGCCUAGAAGGAUUGUGCGACCACCUCAAGGGUUUGCCGGAGGCAGAUCUGGACCCUGGCUUCACGCCCAAAUGGUGGGCCAAGGAGGUCCGGGAACUUGCUUACGACACGGAGGACUUCUUCGACGAGGUUAUACAGUCCGGCGGCGGCGGCGGCAGAAGUGCUCCUGUUAGUGCCAUAUUCGGAGUUACCAGUAAGCGGAAGCGGCGCCUGCCCCAGAUUGCGCAAGAUUUCUCGCAUUUAAUGGCCCGUGUGGAUGAUGCCAGAGAAAGAUGCAAAAUUUUCCAGCUUGCUCCGGAGACAGCCAUCAAAUCUGACCAUGGACAAGCCAGUACCAGCGGCCACAAAAAGAACUCAUUAUUUGUCCCCUUUUUCUUGUAA